RNAcentral lists this ribosomal RNA (292 nucleotides) under uncultured bacterium. RNAcentral describes it as "partial 16S ribosomal RNA". The record is from RNAcentral.
GGACUACACGGGUAUCUAAUCCUGUUUGCUCCCCACGCUUUCGUGUCUCAGCGUCAGUAUUCGUCCAGUUGGCCGCCUUCGCCACCGGUGUUCCUCUCGAUAUCUACGAAUUUCACCUCUACACCGAGAAUUCCACCAACCUCUCCGAUACUCGAGCCAAACAGUUUCAAGUGCACUUCCCAGGUUGAGCCUGGGGCUUUCACACCUGACUUGCAUGGCCGCCUACACACGCUUUACGCCCAGUAAUUCCGAACAACGUUUGCACCCUCUGUCUUACCGCGGCUGCUGGCAC